Hydractinia symbiolongicarpus is the source of this 368-nucleotide long non-coding RNA. RefSeq lists it as uncharacterized. Lineage: Eukaryota; Metazoa; Cnidaria; Hydrozoa; Anthoathecata; Hydractiniidae. The transcript has 3 exons. The record is from RefSeq and is a predicted model, not a curated record.
GGUUGAUUAUUCAACAGAUCAGGGACCGUACAUCAGGCAAUUCACCGUCUUACCAAAAGAUAGAUGAAAGUAAAUUUCGGCAUGGAAUCGAACAUACCUUAUUGUGCAUAAAAGAAAACACCAAUCAUGAUAAUGCUGAGAUUGCAACACAACUGGUGGAGAUGAAACGUGCAAUGCUAAAACUAAAAUGGGAAGACUUGUUUGUUCACGCACAAGUACUGGCAAAUGUUGGACGUAUAAAUAAUGCUGUUGAUGUGUUGCAAGAACUGCUUACAACUUUUGAUCGUAACAGAAUUGAUAGCAACGAUAUGGAAAAAUUAUUAUUCUUAUGUACAGACAAGAGAGGAUUGUGAGUAAAAGAAGUUUCU